UGCCAUUCCGCCACUGCCUGACAACUCGUUGGCCUGUGGCGAAUCUAAAGCUACUUUUCCGGUCGCCUAAAGUUGGCCGGAUACCAAGAUUUGACUGGGUCAAGUGUCGACCUGAACUUCAACCCCCCGGAAUUUCAAUCUUUCCGGCCAUCUGACCUUUCCAAUCCCUUCUCCGACCACCGAUCUUCCAUUUCCCGUUGUCAAAACCGCC
RNAcentral lists this unclassified non-coding RNA (211 nucleotides) under Hevea brasiliensis (rubber tree). Lineage: Eukaryota; Viridiplantae; Streptophyta; Magnoliopsida; Malpighiales; Euphorbiaceae. The record is from RNAcentral.